AUCAAUAUUAUUUGUGAGAUAUGAAAGUGAAGAUCUAUGUUGGGAGAACAUGCAGAAUCCGAGUAAUGAAAGGAAACAAAUAUCAGAUCGAUUGGUAUUGUGUUUGAAUCGACUGCUAUUGUUGAAGAGGUUUGUUACUGCUAGCAUAAUUUACUUGGUGUUGUAUUUAAAUUGUUUUGCUAUUGCUAUAUGGGGCAUGUUCUUGCAAAGGUGCUAACAGGAAAAGAGAAGACCAACGGAGGAAACACGGUGAUGAGGCUGCAAGGGAUGGUAUAGCUG
Molecule: long non-coding RNA, 279 nt
Organism: Salvia splendens (bonfire salvia)
Lineage: Eukaryota; Viridiplantae; Streptophyta; Magnoliopsida; Lamiales; Lamiaceae
Exons: 2
Source: RefSeq, a predicted model, not a curated record